Long non-coding RNA from Gigantopelta aegis, 526 nucleotides. RefSeq lists it as uncharacterized. Lineage: Eukaryota; Metazoa; Mollusca; Gastropoda; Neomphalida; Peltospiridae. The record is from RefSeq and is a predicted model, not a curated record. The transcript is spliced from 2 exons.
CUAGAAGUAAACAUUCAAGUUGACGACGUGUAAAAUAAAUAUCGUGACAAACACUACAUUUACUGGCGACUCAUUAAUUUUCGCUCUUUGAUAUCUGACAAGUACAUCUUGGGCUUCACUGAAUUUACCUUUGUAAUGAAAACAGUCCCCAAGAUAAUUGAAGAGGUCAAGAAUUUCGAGAUCGUGGUCGUUACAUGUCCCCAUUUCUUCUCGGUUUACGUUUCCCAUUUUCUGAAUACUGCUAUCUUUGCUGCUUUUGUCUUUUUCUUUCUAAAGUUUGUUUUGCUAAUGUAAUAGAAGAUGAAUAUCACUAUAUAAUAGGGUGUCCACAAUACAAAGAUUUGCGUUGUAAAUAUAUAAAAAUUUAUUAUUAUAAGCGGCCAAAUGUGUAUCGUUGUAUACAGUUAUUAACCACCGGUAACAAUAAGGAAUUGAAUAACCUAGGCAAAUAUUUAGUGCAGGCUAAUACAAUUAGAGAUCGGUUAAUGCAGGAUAAUAAUUAAUGUAAUAAAUGUAACUUAUAUCA